AUGAUCCAUGAAGGCUUAAACUUAAACCUAAACCUAAUCCUAAUAUCGCAUCCCUCUUUCCGCCUCCUUCCUCUUUCUCUAUUAUCACUUUUCCGUGUUUUGACUCUUUUCCUCUCUGCUAAUACAAUUCACAGUAAGACUACCCUUUAUCUCUCUCUCUCUCUCUCUCACAAUAUCCACCACCAGUUCGCCAUCUCUCCCGCUCUAUAUGGUAGCCAUAUUUUGAUGGUAGAGAUCCAAUUUGGUACUCGUUGUAUCGAUACGGAGAAGUUGGUGUGAAAGUGGGAGAAACCGCAAGUUUUGCUUCUUAACGAAAUAGGAAGAAAAAAGAAGAUGGCCAUUUAAUGAUACUUUUGAAAGCAAGCAUCAUGGUUUAUGGAUUUGGAGAUGCCAGAAGACAAUGGGUUAUCAAUUAGUACAAAGGCAAGGUAUGAAGGCAUCAAGCGAUUUGUUCAGCUGUGCAUCUUUCAUGUGAUGCUUUGAUGAGGCUGUUGUUGCGACCUAGCAUUGCUCAAUCAUCUGAAGGGAUGUCUAUUGCUUUGCACAGCACUGUGGUUUUUAAGGGUUUUACCCAGCAUCAUUCUGGUCCGUUGGCACAUGCCUUCUGUGUCUCUCUCAGGGAAAAUUUGAAGAAAGCUGUAGCAGGAUUUGAUUCGGCUUCUGCUUCAUUUUUGCUGGCUCCGAAAUCGACACCUAAUAAAGCGAUUUUUUCUUGCCUAUUUAUUGUGGAGUUCCUUCUCUUUCUUGCUGCAUCUAGAGAUAACCUUUGGGUAGCUGCUUUACAUAUGGAAUUUGGUAAUGGUAGCAAGGAUGUCCUUGAAGAUAUCACAGCGAGAGAUGCUGCAUCAUGGCCUGGAUAUUAAUGUUUUAUUUUGCGUCAAUUGUAUUUUUUUUUUUUUGUUGGGUUUCUAUUUUUAUGUUUCCUUUUUUUAAACAUUGUAUUUUCAGAUUGUUUGUAUAGCCAAUGGCACUAAAAUAUUCUAAUAUUAGAUUUAAUAAAAUUUAAAUUCUUUUGUUCUUAA
This is a long non-coding RNA of Papaver somniferum (opium poppy), 1022 nucleotides long. RefSeq lists it as uncharacterized. NCBI's taxonomy places the organism in Eukaryota, Viridiplantae, Streptophyta, Magnoliopsida, Ranunculales, Papaveraceae. The transcript has 2 exons. The record is from RefSeq and is a predicted model, not a curated record.